Molecule: ribosomal RNA, 996 nt
Filed under: Bacillus sp. (in: firmicutes)
Lineage: Bacteria; Bacillati; Bacillota; Bacilli; Caryophanales; Bacillaceae
Description: bacterial SSU rRNA
Rfam family: Bacterial small subunit ribosomal RNA
Source: RNAcentral
AGUAAUGCAAGUCGAGCGAACAGAAGGGAGCUUGCUCCCGGAUGUUAGCGGCGGACGGGUGAGUAACACGUGGGUAACCUGCCUGUAAGACUGGGAUAACUCCGGGAAACCGGAGCUAAUACCGGAUAGUUCCUUGAACCGCAUGGUUCAAGGAUGAAAGACGGUUUCGGCUGUCACUUACAGAUGGACCCGCGGCGCAUUAGCUAGUUGGUGGGGUAAUGGCUCACCAAGGCGACGAUGCGUAGCCGACCUGAGAGGGUGAUCGGCCACACUGGGACUGAGACACGGCCCAGACUCCUACGGGAGGCAGCAGUAGGGAAUCUUCCGCAAUGGACGAAAGUCUGACGGAGCAACGCCGCGUGAGUGAUGAAGGUUUUCGGAUCGUAAAGCUCUGUUGUUAGGGAAGAACAAGUGCGAGAGUAACUGCUCGCACCUUGACGGUACCUAACCAGAAAGCCACGGCUAACUACGUGCCAGCAGCCGCGGUAAUACGUAGGUGGCAAGCGUUGUCCGGAAUUAUUGGGCGUAAAGGGCUCGCAGGCGGUUUCUUAAGUCUGAUGUGAAAGCCCCCGGCUCAACCGGGGAGGGUCAUUGGAAACUGGGAAACUUGAGUGCAGAAGAGGAGAGUGGAAUUCCACGUGUAGCGGUGAAAUGCGUAGAGAUGUGGAGGAACACCAGUGGCGAAGGCGACUCUCUGGUCUGUAACUGACGCUGAGGAGCGAAAGCGUGGGGAGCGAACAGGAUUAGAUACCCUGGUAGUCCACGCCGUAAACGAUGAGUGCUAGUGGUUAGGGGGUUUCCGCCCCUUAGUGCUGCAGCUAACGCAUUAAGCACUCCGCCUGGGGGAGUACGGUCGCAAGACUGAAACUCAAAGGAAUUGACGGGGGCCCGCACAGCGGUGGAACAUGUGGUUUAAUUCGAAGCAACGCGAAGAACCUUACCAGGUCUUGACAUCCUCUGACACCCUAGAGAUAGGCUUUCCUUCGGGACGAAUGA